AUCGCUUCUCGGCCUUUUGGCUAAGAUCAAAGUGUAGUAUCUGUUCUUAUCAGCUUAAUAUCUGAUACGUCUCCUAAUGGAGACAUCGAUAUUAAACUGAUUUUUAGAAUGGGAUGAGGUGCCACGGGGCUUGCUCCGCCCUCAUCACGGGUUGACCCGGUAUUGCAGUACCUCCGGGAAAUGGCCCACCACUC
Molecule: small nuclear RNA, 194 nt
Filed under: Haliotis rufescens (red abalone)
Lineage: Eukaryota; Metazoa; Mollusca; Gastropoda; Lepetellida; Haliotidae
Description: U2 spliceosomal RNA
Rfam family: U2 spliceosomal RNA
About the family: U2 is a small nuclear RNA (snRNA) component of the spliceosome (involved in pre-mRNA splicing). Complementary binding between U2 snRNA (in an area lying towards the 5' end but 3' to hairpin I) and the branchpoint sequence (BPS) of the intron results the bulging out of an unpaired adenosine, on the BPS, which initiates a nucleophilic attack at the intronic 5' splice site, thus starting the first of two transesterification reactions that mediate splicing.
Source: RNAcentral